Molecule: ribosomal RNA, 1352 nt
Filed under: Salmonella enterica subsp. enterica serovar Muenchen
Lineage: Bacteria; Pseudomonadati; Pseudomonadota; Gammaproteobacteria; Enterobacterales; Enterobacteriaceae
Description: bacterial SSU rRNA
Rfam family: Bacterial small subunit ribosomal RNA
Source: RNAcentral
GGACCUUCGGGCCUCUUGCCAUCAGAUGUGCCCAGAUGGGAUUAGCUAGUUGGUGAGGUAACGGCUCACCAAGGCGACGAUCCCUAGCUGGUCUGAGAGGAUGACCAGCCACACUGGAACUGAGACACGGUCCAGACUCCUACGGGAGGCAGCAGUGGGGAAUAUUGCACAAUGGGCGCAAGCCUGAUGCAGCCAUGCCGCGUGUAUGAAGAAGGCCUUCGGGUUGUAAAGUACUUUCAGCGGGGAGGAAGGUGUUGUGGUUAAUAACCGCAGCAAUUGACGUUACCCGCAGAAGAAGCACCGGCUAACUCCGUGCCAGCAGCCGCGGUAAUACGGAGGGUGCAAGCGUUAAUCGGAAUUACUGGGCGUAAAGCGCACGCAGGCGGUCUGUCAAGUCGGAUGUGAAAUCCCCGGGCUCAACCUGGGAACUGCAUUCGAAACUGGCAGGCUUGAGUCUUGUAGAGGGGGGUAGAAUUCCAGGUGUAGCGGUGAAAUGCGUAGAGAUCUGGAGGAAUACCGGUGGCGAAGGCGGCCCCCUGGACAAAGACUGACGCUCAGGUGCGAAAGCGUGGGGAGCAAACAGGAUUAGAUACCCUGGUAGUCCACGCCGUAAACGAUGUCUACUUGGAGGUUGUGCCCUUGAGGCGUGGCUUCCGGAGCUAACGCGUUAAGUAGACCGCCUGGGGAGUACGGCCGCAAGGUUAAAACUCAAAUGAAUUGACGGGGGCCCGCACAAGCGGUGGAGCAUGUGGUUUAAUUCGAUGCAACGCGAAGAACCUUACCUGGUCUUGACAUCCACAGAACUUUCCAGAGAUGGAUUGGUGCCUUCGGGAACUGUGAGACAGGUGCUGCAUGGCUGUCGUCAGCUCGUGUUGUGAAAUGUUGGGUUAAGUCCCGCAACGAGCGCAACCCUUAUCCUUUGUUGCCAGCGGUCCGGCCGGGAACUCAAAGGAGACUGCCAGUGAUAAACUGGAGGAAGGUGGGGAUGACGUCAAGUCAUCAUGGCCCUUACGACCAGGGCUACACACGUGCUACAAUGGCGCAUACAAAGAGAAGCGACCUCGCGAGAGCAAGCGGACCUCAUAAAGUGCGUCGUAGUCCGGAUUGGAGUCUGCAACUCGACUCCAUGAAGUCGGAAUCGCUAGUAAUCGUGGAUCAGAAUGCCACGGUGAAUACGUUCCCGGGCCUUGUACACACCGCCCGUCACACCAUGGGAGUGGGUUGCAAAAGAAGUAGGUAGCUUAACCUUCGGGAGGGCGCUUACCACUUUGUGAUUCAUGACUGGGGUGAAGUCGUAACAAGGUAACCGUAGGGGAACCUGCGGUUGGAUCACCUCCUUACCUUAAAGAAGC